AACUCGCGUCGUAUGCUAUCUACCUGAACUUUGAUCGCGUUAUAUGUUAUCUACCUUUCGGUUGAUAUCUACUUAAUACUUUGUACGGAGACUAAUAUUGCAGGUGUAACCGUAUAAUUAUAAACAUCAAUAAUACACUCUACAGUCUACACUUUACACAUAUCAUAGCUAGUAGACAUAUGACUUUUGUAAAAGUGGUACAUGUUAUUUACAAUGAUGAAUCUUGCACCAAUUUUUUAAAACAAUGUGGUGUCUUACCCACUGCUAAAGUAUGCCAAAAAGUUAAUUCAAAAUAAAAUAUGGCAUAAAAACACGUGGUGCCACUAACUUAUUGGAACGGCAGUUGAUGGAAGAGUGGUGACGUUCACUCAAUGCAUCAAAGAAUCUUUUUGACCAGUUUUUUGAAGACAUGAAAAAGAGUUCUUUAAUGUAAUUAAUGUCUAGAUGCACAGACGACACCAACAAUCUACAAAUUGCGGGGUGGAAAAUUGUAGAUAACAUACAACGCCAACACACAAUUUUGGUAGAUACAUUUUUCAUGUAGAUAGCAUACGACGCGAGUUCCAAUUAUUUUUAU
Long non-coding RNA from Rhopalosiphum padi (bird cherry-oat aphid), 577 nucleotides. RefSeq lists it as uncharacterized. Lineage: Eukaryota; Metazoa; Arthropoda; Insecta; Hemiptera; Aphididae. The record is from RefSeq and is a predicted model, not a curated record. The transcript has 2 exons.